GUGUGUGUGUGUGUGUGUGUGUGUGUGUGUGUGUGUGGAGUGUAUGUGUGCACACACACAUAUGUACCUUUGCAUG
Molecule: microRNA precursor, 76 nt
Filed under: Mus pahari (shrew mouse)
Lineage: Eukaryota; Metazoa; Chordata; Mammalia; Rodentia; Muridae
Description: microRNA 466q (MGP_PahariEiJ_G0007399.1)
Source: RNAcentral